CCUACGGGGAGCAGCAGUGAGGAAUAUUGGUCAAUGGACGAGAGUCUGAACCAGCCAAGUAGCGUGAAGGAUGACUGCACUAUGGGUUGUAAACUUCUUUUAUAUGGGAAUAAAAUGUUCCACGUGUGGGAUUUUGUAUGUACCAUAUGAAUAAGGAUCGGCUAACUCCGUGCCAGCAGCCGCGGUAAUACGGAGGAUCCGAGCGUUAUCCGGAUUUAUUGGGUUUAAAGGGAGCGUAAGUGGAUUGUUAAGUCAGUUGUGAAAGUUUGCGGCUCAACCGUAAAAUUGCAGUUGAAACUGGCAGUCUUGAGUACAGUAGAGGUAGGCGGAAUUCGUGGUGUAGCGGUGAAAUGCUUAGAUAUCACGAAGAACUCCGAUUGCGAAGGCAGUUCACUGGACUGCAACUGACACUGAGGCUCGAAAGUGUGGGUAUCAAACAGGAUUAGAUACCCGGGUAGUC
Molecule: ribosomal RNA, 460 nt
Filed under: uncultured bacterium
Lineage: Bacteria
Description: partial 16S ribosomal RNA
Rfam family: Bacterial small subunit ribosomal RNA
Source: RNAcentral